CAAUCCCUGCAAGGAUAAGAUGAACCAACAAUCGCAUGGAAUCAUCUUGUGGCCCAUCCAAUCAUCACUAUCACCACGGCCCAUCCGGUCGCCAUGUACUAUGGAAUGCAUGAGCAUACUCUGACUCUAUCCACGACAAUCGUUAAGUAAAUGCAAAUAUUAAAAGAUUCCCCAUUUUUAAUACCCAUUUAACUCUAACAAUUCGGACGACAAUCAUUAAGUAAAUGCAGAUAUUAUAAGAUUCCUCAUUUUUAAUACCCAUUUAACUCUAACAAUUGGGACGACAAUCAUUAAGUAAAUGCAUAUAUUAAAAGAUUCCCCAUUUUUAAUACCCAUUUAACUCUAACAAUUCGGACGACAAUCAUUAAGUAAAUGCAGAUAUUAAAAGAUUCCCCAUUUUUAAUACCCAUUUAACUCUAACAAUUCGAACGACAAUCAUUAAUUAAAUGCAGAUAUUAAAAGAUUCUCCAUUUUUAAUACCCAUUUAACUCUAACAAUUCAUACGACAAUCAUUAAGUAAAUGCAGAUAUUAAAAGAUUCCCCAUUUUUAAUACCCAUUUAACUCUAACAAUUCGAACGACAAUUAUUUAGUAAAUGCAGAUAUUAAAAGAUUCCCUAUUUUUAAUACCCAUUUAACUCUAACAAUUUUCAGUACAAACAUUAAGUAAACAAAGAUAUUAAAAGAUUCCCCAUUUUUAAUACUCGUUUAACUCUAAUGAUUUUCACAACAAACAUUAAGUAAAUAGAGAUAUUAAAAGAUUCUCCAUUUUUAAUACUCGUUUAACUCUAAUGAUUUUCAAAUUCCACACAGAACAUACUCAGACAUAUUCUCAAAUUCAAUCAACAAUUCACACCAAAUCUCAUGAAUUCAUUUUUCCACAAAAUCCACACAAAUACAUCUAAAUUUUUUUAAAUAUUAAUUAUGAACACGUCAAACACGACAACCACAAAAUUAUCUCAACUCACCACUCAAACACAUCAAAUUUCAUUUCCUCAAAACCACACAUAAAUUAGUUAAAUUCAUUUUCCACGAAACACUCAUCAAUAUCACCAAAACCCAGCUCUAAAAUUUCACCCAUAAAAGCAUUAAAUUCAUUUUCCACGAAACACUCAUCAAUAUCACCAAAACCCAGCUCUAAAAUUUCACCCAUAAAAGCAUUAAAUUCAUUUUCCACGAAACACUCAUCAAUAUCACCAAAACCCAGCUCUAAAAUUUCACCCAUAAAAGCAUUAAAUUCAUUUUCCCCAAACCAACACUUCAACCCUAACAAAAUUCUUUUCCACACAACCACAAAUAAGUCCCUAAAUGCAAACUAAAAGUUUGGAACGAGCCCUUACCUUAACGAUAGCUUUAACGAGCGAUUACGGUACCGCGAUUUAUUCCGGUAAAAACUUUGUUCGCAUUGUCGCUUCCAAAGUUGACUCUCUAGCACCGUAGCGGAGUGAUGAGCAACUUUCCCUUCUAUCUCUUCACAAAAUAAAGCUUGGAUCUAGAAGAAACGUGAGAGUUUGUGUUUGACGGUUUUGAAAUCCCUAACACCGUUUUUCUUCGUUUUUGAAUCAAACAAGAAGAAUGAAGCUGAGAAAUCUUUGUUUUCUAACCCACC
RNAcentral lists this long non-coding RNA (1607 nucleotides) under Cicer arietinum (chickpea). RNAcentral describes it as "long non-coding RNA (CARI_LNC000615)". The record is from RNAcentral. Lineage: Eukaryota; Viridiplantae; Streptophyta; Magnoliopsida; Fabales; Fabaceae.